CAUGGGCGCAGCCUGAUGCAGCCAUGCCGCGGUGGUAUGAAGAAGGCCUUCGGGUUUGUAAAGUACUUUCAGCGGGGAGGAAGGGAGUAAAGUUAAUACCUUUCGCUCAUGGACGUUACCCGCAGAAGAAGCACCGGCUAACUCCGUGCCAGCAGCCGCCGGUAAUACGGA
RNAcentral lists this ribosomal RNA (171 nucleotides) under Escherichia coli. Its description in RNAcentral is "partial 16S ribosomal RNA". It matches the Rfam family "Bacterial small subunit ribosomal RNA", at positions 370 to 529 of the family's 1533-position model. The record is from RNAcentral. RNAcentral also lists the same sequence under 1 other name. Lineage: Bacteria; Pseudomonadati; Pseudomonadota; Gammaproteobacteria; Enterobacterales; Enterobacteriaceae.